UCGCCGAUCUUGCCGAGGUCUACGUCAACGACGCCUUCGGCGCCUCGCACCGGGCCCACGCAUCGGUCGUGGGUGUCCCGCAGCACCUGCCGGCGGU
Molecule: transfer RNA, 97 nt
Filed under: Methanoculleus chikugoensis
Lineage: Archaea; Methanobacteriati; Methanobacteriota; Methanomicrobia; Methanomicrobiales; Methanomicrobiaceae
Description: tRNA-Arg
Source: RNAcentral